CCUACGGGAGGCAGCAGUGGGGAAUAUUGCACAAUGGGGGAAACCCUGAUGCAGCGACGCCGCGUGAGUGAGGAAGUAUUUCGGUAUGUAAAGCUCUAUCAGCAGGGACGAAAAUGUCGGUAUCUGACUAAGAAGCGCCGGCUAACUACGGGCCAGCAGCCGCGCUAAUAUGUAGGGGGCAAGCGUUAUCCGGAUUUACUGGGUGUAAAGGGAGCGUAGACGGGUAAGCAAGUCAGAAGUGAAAACCCAGGGCUCAACGUUGGGACUGCAUUUGAAACUGUGUAGCUAGAGUGCAGGAGAGGUAGGCGGAAUUCCUAGUGUAGCGGUGAAAUGCGUAGAUAUUAGGAGGAACACCAGUGGCGAAGGCGGCUUACUGGACUGUAACUGACGUUGAGGCUCGAAAGCGUGGGGAGCAAACAGGAUUAGAUACCCGAGUAGUC
RNAcentral lists this ribosomal RNA (440 nucleotides) under uncultured bacterium. RNAcentral's name for it is "partial 16S ribosomal RNA". It matches the Rfam family "Bacterial small subunit ribosomal RNA", at positions 338 to 795 of the family's 1533-position model. The record is from RNAcentral.